GAUGAACGCUAGCGGCAGGCUUAAUACAUGCAAGUCGAACGGUAAGUUUGGUAGCAAUACUGAACCAAGAGUGACGUACGGGUGCGUAACACGUAUGCAACCUACCCAAAACAGGAGGAUAGCUCGGGGAAACUCGAAUUAACCCUCCAUAAGAUCAUAGAGUGGCAUUACUUAGUGAUUAAAACUCCGGUGGUUUUGGAUGGGCAUGCGUCUGAUUAGUUAGUUGGCGGGGUAACGGCCACCAAGACGAUGAUCAGUAGGGGAACUGAGAGGUUGAUCCCCCACACUGGCACUGAGAUACGGGCCAGACUCCUACGGGAGGCAGCAGUAGGGAAUAUUGGUCAAUGGGUGCAAGCCUGAACCAGCCAUGCCGCGUGCAGGAAGAAGGCGUUAUGCGUUGUAAACUGCUUUUGCCAGGGGAUAAAAUAGCUUUGCGAAGCUAAUUGAAGGUACCUGGUGAAUAAGCCACGGCUAACUACGUGCCAGCAGCCGCGGUAAUACGUAGGUGGCGAGCGUUGUCCGGAUUUAUUGGGUUUAAAGGGUGCGUAGGCGGCCCUGUAAGUCAGUGCUGAAAUAUCCCGGCUUAACCGGGAGGGUGGCAUUGAUACUGCGGGGCUUGAGUGGAGUCGAAGUAGGCGGAAUUGACGGUGUAGCGGUGAAGUGCUUAGAUAUCGUCAAGAACACCGAUAGUGAAGACAGUUUACUAGGCUUUUACUGACGCUGAGGCACGAAAGUGUGGGGAUCAAACAGGAUUAGAUACCCUGGUAGUCCACACUGUAAACGUUGAUGACUCGCUGUUGGCGAUACACAGCCAGCGGCCAAGCGCAAGCGAUAAGUCAUCCACCUGGGGAGUACGCCGGCAACGGUG
Molecule: ribosomal RNA, 868 nt
Filed under: uncultured bacterium
Lineage: Bacteria
Description: bacterial SSU rRNA
Rfam family: Bacterial small subunit ribosomal RNA
Source: RNAcentral